This 468-nucleotide ribosomal RNA is filed under the name uncultured bacterium. Its description in RNAcentral is "partial 16S ribosomal RNA". It matches the Rfam family "Bacterial small subunit ribosomal RNA", at positions 28 to 507 of the family's 1533-position model. The record is from RNAcentral.
GACGGACGCUGGCGGCGUGCUUAACACAUGCAAGUCGAACGGAAAGGCCCUGCUUUUGUGGGGUGCUCGAGUGGCGAACGGGUGAGUAACACGUGAGUAACCUGCCCUUGACUUUGGGAUAACUUCAGGAAACUGGGGCUAAUACCGGAUAGGAGCUCCUGCUGCAUGGUGGGGGUUGGAAAGUUUCGGCGGUUGGGGAUGGACUCGCGGGUUAUCGGCUUGUGGGUGGGGUAGUGGCUAACCAAGGGUUGGAGGGGUAGCCGGCCUGAGAGGGUGACCGGCCACAUUGGGACUGGGGAAGGACCCGGAGUCCUACGGGAGGAAGAAGUGGGAAUUAUUGCACAAUGGGCGGAGGCCUGAUGGAGCAACGCCGCGUGCGGAAUGACGGCUUUCGGGUUGUAACCCGCUUUCGCCUGGGACGAAGCGUGAGUGACGGUAAUGGGUAAAGAAGCACCGGCUAACUACGUG